UACAAGGUUCCGUAGGUGAACCUGCGGAAGGAUCAUUA
This 38-nucleotide ribosomal RNA is filed under the name Arthrobotrys musiformis. RNAcentral's name for it is "partial 18S small subunit ribosomal RNA". The record is from RNAcentral. Lineage: Eukaryota; Fungi; Ascomycota; Orbiliomycetes; Orbiliales; Orbiliaceae.